GCUGGGCGUGGUGAUGCGCGCCUGUAAUCCCAGCUACUUGGGAGGCUGAGGCAGAAGAAUCACUUGAACCCAGGAGGUGGAGGUUGCAGUGAGCCUAGAUCGUGCCACUGCAUUCCAGUCUGGGUGACAGAGUGAGACUCUAUCUCAA
This 148-nucleotide non-coding RNA is filed under the name Gorilla gorilla gorilla (western lowland gorilla). The record is from Rfam by way of RNAcentral. Lineage: Eukaryota; Metazoa; Chordata; Mammalia; Primates; Hominidae.